AGGAGUAUGGUGUAACGGUAGCACACAGCACUUUGACUGCUGUAGUAGUUGUUCGAAUCAACUUAUUCCUG
Molecule: transfer RNA, 71 nt
Filed under: Caudoviricetes sp.
Lineage: Duplodnaviria; Heunggongvirae; Uroviricota; Caudoviricetes
Description: tRNA-Gln
Rfam family: tRNA
About the family: Transfer RNA (tRNA) molecules are approximately 80 nucleotides in length. Their secondary structure includes four short double-helical elements and three loops (D, anti-codon, and T loops).
Source: RNAcentral